RNAcentral lists this non-coding RNA (45 nucleotides) under Schistosoma mattheei. The record is from RNAcentral. Lineage: Eukaryota; Metazoa; Platyhelminthes; Trematoda; Strigeidida; Schistosomatidae.
AUCCAGCCGACGAGUCCGAUAUUGGAUGAGACAUGUGUCCUGGAU